GAUUCCCUCAGUAAUGGCGAAUGAAUCGGGAUAAGCUCAAUAUGGAAAUCGUUGCCUCUGGCUUUGAAUUGUAAUUUCAAGAUAUGUUGCUAAUGGGGGCACAAAUGCAAGCCGCUUGGAAAAGCGAACCAUUGAGGGUGAGAGUCCCGUCUGUCAUUUGCAGACCUCCGUGCACGGCAUUCCUUCUAUGAGUCACGUUCCUCGGGAUUGGAGCGCAAAGUUGGUGGUAAAUUUCAUCUCAAGCUGAAUAUGGGCUCGAAGCCGAUAGCAAACAAGUACCAUGAGGGAAAGAUGAAAAGGACUUUGAAAAGAGAGUUAAAAGUGCCUGAACUCGUUGAAAGGAAAGCGGAUGGAACAAGUUUUGCAUUGCAAGAUUGUCAUGUGCUAUGGAAAGAUUUCAUUGCAUAAAUGAAAAUGUUGCAAUGAUACCUGCUUUGGAUUCAUGUGAUGCUUCUUGCUUUGUGUGUCACCAUCCGUUGGAGGGUGGGGAUAACUUUUGGGACAUGGUAGCUCGGCCCCGGCUGUUCGAAUGUCCCUUGCAGGAUUCACUCUCCAAUUGAAUGUGUGGUGUGAGGUUGUGCUGGCUAGCUCUUUACCACAUGCUGCAUAUGUAUGUUGUCAUGUGGGAGCGGGUCACCUUCCUGACAUUGUGAAUGGUGACUAAAUUGUUCUAUUCGACCCGUCUUGAAA
Molecule: ribosomal RNA, 690 nt
Filed under: Warnowia sp. 1 AR-2015
Lineage: Eukaryota; Dinophyceae; Gymnodiniales; Warnowiaceae
Description: LSU rRNA
Rfam family: Eukaryotic large subunit ribosomal RNA
Source: RNAcentral